UGGAUGGCGAGUUUGAUCCUGGCUCAGGAUAAACGCUGGCGGCGUGCCUAACACAUGCAAGUCGAACGCGCUCCCCUCCUUCGGGGGGGGAGCGAGUGGCGGACGGGUGAGUAAGACGUGGGUCACCUACCUUUCAGUGAGGGAUACCGGCGAGAAAUCGCCGACAAUCCCGCAUACGCUUGGCGCUCUGCAACGAGUGCCAAGCAAAGCUCUGCAAAGGGCGCUGGGAGAUGGGCCCGCGGCCGAUUAGCUGGUUGGUGGGGUAAAAGCUCACCAAGGCGACGAUCGGUAGCUGGUCUGAGAGGACGAUCAGCCACACUGGGAUUGAGAACGGCCCAGACUCCUACGGGGGGCAGCAGUGAGGAAAGGUCUUCGGAUCGUAAACUGCUUUUCUCUGGGACGAGGACGGACGGUACCAGAGGAACAAGCCCCGGCUAACUACGUGCCAGCAGCCGCGGUAAUACGUAGGGGGCGAGCGUUGUCCGGAGUUACUGGGCGUAAAGCGCACGCAGGCGGUGCUGCGCGUUUGGGGUUACAGCUCCCGGCUCAACCGGGAGAGCGCCUCGAAGACGGCAGCACUUGAGGGCCAGAGAGGGACACGGAACUCCGGGUGGAGUGGUGAAAUGCGUAGAUAUCCGGAAGAACACCAAAGGCGAAGGCAGUGUCCUGGCUGGUACCUGACGCUCAGGUGCGAAAGCUAGGGGAGCGAACGGGAUUAGAUACCCCGGUAGUCC
Ktedonobacter sp. 13_2_20CM_53_11 is the source of this 734-nucleotide non-coding RNA. Lineage: Bacteria; Bacillati; Chloroflexota; Ktedonobacteria; Ktedonobacterales; Ktedonobacteraceae. The record is from Rfam.